This 324-nucleotide ribosomal RNA is filed under the name uncultured eukaryote. RNAcentral describes it as "partial 18S ribosomal RNA". It matches the Rfam family "Eukaryotic small subunit ribosomal RNA", at positions 1470 to 1796 of the family's 1831-position model. The record is from RNAcentral.
CCCUUAGAUGUUCUGGGCUGCACGCGCGCUACACUGAUGCGAUCAACAAGUUUUUCCUAUGUCGAUAGACACGGGUAAUCUUUUGAACUCGCAUCGUGAUGGGGAUAGAUUAUUGCAAUUAUUAAUCUUCAACGAGGAAUUCCUAGUAGGUGCAAAUCAUCAGUUUGCAUCGAUUACGUCCCUGCCCUUUGUACACACCGCCCGUCGCUGCUACCGAUUGGUUGAUCUGGUGAAUUAUUCGGACUGCCGGCUGAAGGGGUUUCCUCAUCUGCCAGCGGAAAGUCUUGUUAACCCUAUCAACUAGAGGAAGCAGAAGUCGUAACA